Molecule: ribosomal RNA, 470 nt
Filed under: uncultured Methanomicrobiales archaeon
Lineage: Archaea; Methanobacteriati; Methanobacteriota; Methanomicrobia; Methanomicrobiales
Description: bacterial SSU rRNA
Rfam family: Archaeal small subunit ribosomal RNA
Source: RNAcentral
CGGGGAGCACCACAACAGGUGGAGCCUGUACGUUUAGUCGGACUCAACGCCGGGAAACUCACCAGAUAAGACAGCUGAAUGAUAGUCGGGCUGAAGACUCUACUUGACUAGCUGAGAGGAGGUGCAUGGCCGUCGUCAGUUCGUACUGUGAAGCAUCCUGUUAAGUCAGGCAACGAGCGAGACCCACGCCAACAGUUGCCAGCUCGUCCUCCGGGAUGGUGGGGACACUGUUGGGACCGCCUCUGCUAAAGAGGAGGAAGGAAUGGGCAACGGUAGGUCAGCAUGCCCCGAAUUAUCUGGGCUACACGCGGGCUACAAUGGGUGGGACAAUGGGUAUCGACACCGAAAGGUGAAGGCAAUCUCCUAAACCCAUCCGUAGCUCGGAUUGUGGGCUGCAACUCGCCCACAUGAAGCUGGAAUCUGUAGUAAUCGUGUCUCAAAAUGGCACGGUGAAUAUGUCCCUGCUCCUU